Molecule: ribosomal RNA, 258 nt
Filed under: uncultured archaeon
Lineage: Archaea
Description: partial 16S ribosomal RNA
Rfam family: Archaeal small subunit ribosomal RNA
Source: RNAcentral
CUACAUUAGAUACCCCUGUAGUCCCAGCCGUAAACUAUGCUCGCUAGGUGUCAGGCAUGGCGCGACCGUGUCUGGUGCCGCAGGGAAGCCGUGAAGCGAGCCACCUGGGAAGUACGGCCGCAAGGCUGAAACUUAAAGGAAUUGGCGGGGAGCACCACAACGGGUGGAGCCUGCGGUUUAAUUGGACUCAACGCCGGGAAGCUCACCGGAUAAGACAGCGGAAUGAUUGCCGGGCUGAAGACUCUGCAUGACUAGCUG